RNAcentral lists this ribosomal RNA (1212 nucleotides) under Triticum aestivum (bread wheat). RNAcentral's name for it is "partial small subunit ribosomal RNA". Lineage: Eukaryota; Viridiplantae; Streptophyta; Magnoliopsida; Poales; Poaceae. The record is from RNAcentral.
AUGCUGGGCCUGCUCGCGCACCUCCACGCGGCGCUCGUGUUCCUCCCCAACAACGGGGGCCCGGCCUGGGCCGGGCCAGGCGGCGGCGCGGGGGCGGUGUACGACGUGGUGCGCUACGGCGCCCGCCCCGACGGCAUGACGGACGCGACGCUGCCGUUCCUGCGCGCGUGGGCCGACGCGUGCCGCUCGCCGCGCCCGGCCACGGUGCUGGUGCCGCCGGGUGUGUUCCUGGUGGGGAGCGCCACGUUCAUGGGCCCGUGCGCCACCCGCGCCGUCACGUUCGCCGUGGCCGGCACGCUGCUCGCCCCCUCGGGCUACGGCUGGGACAGCGCCUCCCCGGGGCGGUGGCUCACGUUCGAGUCCGUGGAGGGCCUCGCCGUCUCCGGCGGCACCCUCGACGGCCGCGGCGCCCCCCUCUGGGCCUGCAAGCAGCAGCAGCCGCGCCUCCACUGCCCGUCCGGCGCCUCGUCGCUGACGAUCUCGAACUCGAGGGACGUGGUGGUGGACGGGCUGAGGUCGAUGAACAGCGAGCUGUUCCACGUGGUGGUGCUGCAGAGCAACGGCGUGACGCUGAACCGGGUGACGGUGGACGCGCCGGAGGACAGCCCCAACACCGACGGGAUACACAUCCACAUGUCCAGCCACGUCUCCGUCUACGACGCCAACAUCCGCACCGGCGACGACUGCGUCUCCGUCGGGCCCGGCAACUCCAACCUCUGGAUCGAGCGCGUCUCCUGCGGCCCAGGCCACGGCAUAAGCAUCGGGAGUUUGGGGCAUCAGCAAGGGCUGGACAUGGAGGACGUGCAGAACGUGACGGUGAAGACGACGUGGUUCACCGGCACCUCAAACGGGCUGAGGAUCAAAACCUGGGGGAGCUCCAAGCAGGGUUUCGUGAGGGGCGUCACCUUCGAGGACGCUACGAUGACCGGCGUCCACAACCCCAUCAUCAUCGACCAGAAUUACUGCCCCCAAAAAGUUGGGUGCAGCGACCGGAGCUCGAGCAUCAAGAUCAGCGAGGUGAAGUACGUGGACAUACGGGGGUGGUCGACGACGCCGGUGGCCGUGACCUUCAACUGCAGCAGGAGCCACCCGUGCAGCGGGAUCAGCAUGCAGGACGUGAAGCUGAUGUACGACAGGCGGGUCGCCAAGUCCUCCUGCCGGAACGUUCAGGGGAGGUCGGUGGGUCUCGUCCUGCCGCCAAGCUGCCUCUGA